This is a long non-coding RNA of Brassica oleracea var. oleracea, 1351 nucleotides long. RefSeq lists it as uncharacterized. The record is from RefSeq and is a predicted model, not a curated record. The transcript is spliced from 3 exons. Lineage: Eukaryota; Viridiplantae; Streptophyta; Magnoliopsida; Brassicales; Brassicaceae.
ACCUCACCAUCUCUGCCUGUUUUUCAUAAGUCUGCAGAAACACGAUUUCUUUUUCUCUACUCUCCACCUCUUCCACCUCUCCUGUCUCUUCAUAUUCAUCUCUUCCUUUUGGUUCAAUUCAAUGUAUUCCUCUUAACUUAGGUCAAUAAAUGUUAUUCUCAUUAAACUCAUUGACAAUUUCGAACUCUCUGUCUCCCUUCCCAUACAAUGAGAACCGAAGCACCUCAGACCCUAUAAAUUGGAGUGGGUUGAGAGUAGGAUGAAUCUUCACAAGUUUUUUUUCCCGUGAUUACAUGUUUGAAUGUUGUAGACUUGUAUAUCAUGCUUCUUAGAUAAUCCAGUUUGAUUUCUGAAACAAUUCCUUUCCACUGAGAUUUCCAGGUAUAGCUUACGCAAGCAAGGCUUCGCAGUAGGAAGGUCAGGUAUUUUUGUUAUAACCUCAUAGUCAUAUUCUCAAAAGUUAUUUCUUUGUACACGAGAUAUUGAGCGCUGUAAUCAAUGAGAUCCAGCCUCUGAAACCGGAAUCCGGGGAGUGGAAAAACUGAAUAUAGCCAACGAUGAAUCAAUCCUUUUGUGUUGGAAGUGGUUCCCAGUGGUAUUGUAUAGGAUAUUGAUGUGGAGGCACUGCGGAUAUGGAACGUGUGUUACGUCCGUCUCCUUCUUCCCACAGAGAAGUUAUAGUUUUUGAUCGGCGGCAGAUCCUCCGCCACAUCUUCUCUUCACUAUCUCCGAGUGGCAGAUAUGAUGGAAUCCGGCGAAGGUGGAAGAGAGGAUCCUUCCUGGAAGCUUCCACUGAUCGUGAGAGGUACUUGUCUGAUUUGAUACAAGAGAGACAAAAGUUGGCUUCGCUCUCCGACCUUGAUAUAUAUGAGCCUGGCAGUCCUUUUAGAUCCCUUGGUCCAGCGCUCACAAAUGGAAAGCUUCAUUUUGAGCUUGCAACACACUGUAGGGUGUUUACCUUGCUCAAAGGUAAGCAAGGUUACAAACAUCCAUUUACUGAUCGAAGCCGAGCUUGCAGAGGACAUAAUAAACUCUAGAUUGGAGCAUGCAGUGCAAUUCCUGGAGUCGCUCCUAAAGCCAGUGGACAAGAGGGAACAACUGAAGGAGUUAGGGGCUCUGAAUGGUACGCUAAGGGAAGAGAGUCCAAGUCUGCGCUUGAGCCCAACAGCAAGCGUGCCAAGACUUGAAAAUAAAGAUUUCUACAGGAGAGAUGAGAGACUUCAAUUCAUUUGUUUUUUAGUCAUUAAGUUUAUUCUUUAUUUUUGAAAGUUUUGUUGGCUAACAGAGAUUACUAUACUAUUUAACCAGCAAGUAAUAAUGGUAAAAAGAGCUAUCAAAAUUCAAAUUUGUA